AUAGAAAAAAAUAUUAUCUUCUGAUUUGUCGAUCGUAUAAAUACCCAUGUUACAACGAAGAUGAUCAGAAAACUGUAAAGUAUGUGAAAGGUUCGAAAGAGAUAUUUUAUAAUUUUUACAUUUGCCGGAUCAUAACUGUUCGUUUAAAAUGAGAACACUGUUUGUAAUUCUGGCCAUUUGCUUCGCGAUGAUUCCAUUAAUCAUGGGUUGCAAACCACCCGGUUUACUAUGCUCCGACGACAAAGACUGC
Molecule: long non-coding RNA, 250 nt
Organism: Apis mellifera (honey bee)
Lineage: Eukaryota; Metazoa; Arthropoda; Insecta; Hymenoptera; Apidae
Exons: 3
Source: RefSeq, a predicted model, not a curated record